RNAcentral lists this ribosomal RNA (460 nucleotides) under uncultured bacterium. RNAcentral's name for it is "partial 16S ribosomal RNA". It matches the Rfam family "Bacterial small subunit ribosomal RNA", at positions 338 to 795 of the family's 1533-position model. The record is from RNAcentral.
CCUACGGUGUGCAGCAGUGAGGAAUAUUGGUCAAUGGACGAGAGUCUGAACCAGCCAAGUAGCGUGAAGGAUGACUGCCCUAUGGGUUGUAAACUUCUUUUAUAUGGGAAUAAAAUGUUCCACGUGUGGGAUUUUGUAUGUACCAUAUGAAUAAGGAUCGGCUAACUCCGGGCCAGCAGCCGCGGUAAUACGGAGGAUCCGAGCGUUAUCCGGAUUUAUUGGGAUUAAGGGUAGCGUAGGUGGAGUGUUAAGUAAGUUGUGAAAGUUUGCGGCUCAAACGUAAAAUUGCAGUUGAAACGGGCAGUCUUGAGUACAGUAGAGGUGAGCGGAAUUCGUGGUGUAGCGGUGAAAUGCGUAGAUAUCACGAAGAACUCCGAUGGCGAAGGCAGCUCACUGGACUGCAACUGACACUGAGGCUCGAAAGUGUGGGUAUCAAACAGGAUUAGAUACCCUUGUAGUC